CACAUUUUCUUAAUCCAUUUCUCAUCUCUUCAACAAGUAGAACAAAAACCGUUGUCACUCUUCUCCUCUUUGACCUAAUUUUUCAUCCAUUUAGGGCAAGCUUGUGGAGUUUUGCAGUGGUAUGAAUCUUAUGGAAAUGGAGGGCUGAAGGGUUUCUUGUGAAAUCUGAAAAAAAAACUUGAUGUUUUCGAACUACUGGAGGUUCUCUUCUUUAACCGAGGUUAUAGCUGAAGAAACUUCAAGUUUGAGCUUUUGAGAUAUCAAUGAAUAAUUUAGAUAGAAGUUGGAUGAGUCUCAAAUGAAGUGAAUGCAGUGAAGUUUCCUGAAACAUAUCAGAUCGUGUGGAUGUGGAAGUGAUGACAAUAUCAGAGUACAAAAGCUAUAUGCAGUAAGGUUAUAAGGCGAGCAGUUCUCGAGGCAAUGCAGACUGAAAUCAAAGAAAUUGAAUACGAGCUUGAAUUAUUUUUUCUUCUAGCUUUUUUUUAUAUAAUGGAAAAUAUGCCAAUCCAUUUUGUAAACGAUAUUAGAUUGGGUGGUCCAAAGCAUCUUCGUUGAAUGUAUUCUACUGAGUGAAAAUUUUGUAAAUUCAAGGGUCUUAUUUGUAAUCGACGUUAUCCAGAAGCUUGUAUAGCAGAGGGGUUCAAUGUUGACAAGUUCUUGAUCUUUAGUUUGAUAUACCUAC
Solanum stenotomum is the source of this 682-nucleotide long non-coding RNA. RefSeq lists it as uncharacterized. NCBI's taxonomy places the organism in Eukaryota, Viridiplantae, Streptophyta, Magnoliopsida, Solanales, Solanaceae. The transcript has 3 exons. The record is from RefSeq and is a predicted model, not a curated record.